UAGAAAUACAGGUUUUAGCAACCACUGGACUUCUCCACCUUUAUGCACAAUGUUCUGUGUCUUUAUUUUAGAUUUGGAUUAUGGUGGUUUUCUAACCCAGCCACAGUUCUGCAGUAUAGAACAGGUUCUGGCAUACACACUUUGCCCUAAAGAAAGUUCUGGCUGUAGGUAGAAUGCCAUGAAUAAUACCUUAUUUUCUGAGUGGCUUCAGAGGAAUCGUUCAUGAGUUAUUUUCUCAGAUGCAGGUAGACUGUCUUCAAAUAAUGUCAUGUUUCUGUGCUACUUCUGUAUAAAUUUGAGUUUACCCAGGCUAUCUGUUAAGGGGCUUGUUAUUUUUAUCAUCUGUGUAUAUAGAUCCAUGUGCCUUGUAUUUGUGGAAAAGGGCAGUAUUUUUAUAGAAAUCCAUUUCAUUCAAUGUCCCAUUUCACCAGGGAGAACCUGCAUUAAACUUUGACUGUAUUUUGUACUUACUGAGUUUGUAGCAUUAACAGUUGGGGAUAUUGUAGAACUCACAUUUGCCAACAGGAACAGCAGUAACAGGAGACUUCAGGUGUUUGUAGAGGAGAUUUUUGGGGCCUGUUUCUUGGUUUUGGGAACACAAAGGCUGAUGCUUGGCAAGGAUAGAAUAUUGUUAUUGUAGUGUAGGUCACAUUUUUAUGAAUUGAAAGACACCUUCUGUGUUUUCAGCAAGUUUGUCAGUCAAGAACAUUAGGACUGCAGGUGAGAUCUGUCUGUACCUUGUUUUCAGACAAAUCUGGUUUUGUUUUUUCUUUUUUU
This is a long non-coding RNA of Pseudopipra pipra, 777 nucleotides long. RefSeq lists it as uncharacterized. Lineage: Eukaryota; Metazoa; Chordata; Aves; Passeriformes; Pipridae. The record is from RefSeq and is a predicted model, not a curated record. The transcript has 3 exons.